GACGCAAAACUGCCGAGUUCCCGUCGUCCAGCACGGCAGGGAGCGGGGGACCCACUCGGGCCGGAUCCGUCCGGCCCACGGGGCGAAUCGCCACCGGCCACUCCGCCAUCGGAGGGCUCUGGAGGCGUAGCGCACUCUUUCAGCGCGAGCCCGUCAGCUCACCUCGUAGGCGACAGAAAGAGAACUC
Molecule: small RNA, 187 nt
Filed under: Conexibacter woesei
Lineage: Bacteria; Bacillati; Actinomycetota; Thermoleophilia; Solirubrobacterales; Conexibacteraceae
Also listed under: 1 other name
Description: c-di-AMP sequence
Rfam family: c-di-AMP riboswitch aptamer (ydaO/yuaA leader)
About the family: This family represents a conserved RNA structure found upstream of the ydaO and yuaA genes in Bacillus subtilis and related genes in other bacteria. The ydaO/yuaA element is thought to act as a genetic "off" switch for the ydaO and yuaA genes in its native state.
Source: RNAcentral